This 23-nucleotide non-coding RNA is filed under the name Arabidopsis thaliana (thale cress). The record is from RNAcentral. Lineage: Eukaryota; Viridiplantae; Streptophyta; Magnoliopsida; Brassicales; Brassicaceae.
UAUGGAGGCUUGCAGAUACUGCU